RNAcentral lists this ribosomal RNA (380 nucleotides) under uncultured bacterium. Its description in RNAcentral is "bacterial SSU rRNA". It matches the Rfam family "Bacterial small subunit ribosomal RNA", at positions 774 to 1153 of the family's 1533-position model. The record is from RNAcentral.
AGUCAAUAGAUACCCUGGUAGUCCACGCCGUAAACGAUGAGUACUAGGUGUAGGAGGUAUCGACUCCUUCUGUGCCGCAGUUAACACAAUAAGUACUCCGCCUGGGAAGUACGGUCGCAAGAUUAAAACUCAAAGGAAUUGACGGGGGCCCGCACAAGCAGCGGAGCAUGUGGUUUAAUUCGAAGCAACGCGAAGAACCUUACCUAGACUUGACAUCUCCUGAAUAGUGUAGAGAUACAUGAAGCCCUUCGGGCGAGAAGACAGGUGGUGCAUGGUUGUCGUCAGCUCGUGUCGUGAGAUGUUGGGUUAAAGUCCCGCAACGAGCGCAACCCUUAUUACUAAUUGCUUACCAUUAAGUUGAGCACUCUAGUGAGACUGCC